Molecule: unclassified non-coding RNA, 1051 nt
Filed under: Hevea brasiliensis (rubber tree)
Lineage: Eukaryota; Viridiplantae; Streptophyta; Magnoliopsida; Malpighiales; Euphorbiaceae
Source: RNAcentral
GUGUGGAGCCAGGAUCAAACAACAUAUAAACAGCUUGUUCAAAGAUGAAGAAAGUACCAGUUUAUAACAUCUGAUGUCUCAGCCUCAUCCCUUUGGUGCAUUGUAUAUACUCUAAUCGGUGCGAUACUCUACUCUGACUGGUUUACUGUACCAUGGCUACCAGAUGUAUUGCCUCUAUCCCUGUCUCGACCUCUACUAACUGGCUGUGGCCCUCUGAAAGCAGAGCCUUGAGCUGAUCCCUCAGUAGUGGUAGGUGGUCCAGAUCUGCGAAUACUAGUGUAAUCCCUGGCAAAAUGUCCAAUUCCACCACAGUUGUAGUAGGCUCCUGUGGCCUUAUAGCAUACUCCUCCAUGUGUUUUGUCACAGGUUUCACAGGUACGGAUAGGAAAGGAACCUCUGAAUGUCUACUGACUAGAUCUAAGUGGCCUCUGCCCUGAGAAUUUUCGGAUACCCCUUCCAAUUCUAUCAUUUCCAGCUCAAGGGCCUAGGAUAUCAACUCUAAGAAGUUCCCAUGUUUGAAACCAACCACCUGUAGUCGUAGACUAGGCCUCAAUCUAGCUUUAAACCACUUUUCUAUCUCCUUGUUUCAAACUCAAAAACUCCUGAAGCUUUAUAUCCACAUAUAUAUCCGGAACAUAAUUCUGUUGAAAUUCCCUAAGGAAGUCUUCCCAUGUCAAUACUGAAUGCUCUACCAGACUGUGGGGAAUAGUCUUCCACCAUUCAUAAGCGUCCCCUUACAACAAAGAAACUGAGUAUUCAAACUUCAGAUCAUAUGUGUAGUGUAAUUUCUUGAAUACCCUCUCCAUUCUCUCUCAAGCCAUUAUUCUGCUUCCAAUGGGUCUACUGUACCCUUGAACUCUAUUGCCCCAUACUUCAUUAAUUUUUUAUACUGUCUAGUUGGGGGUGGUGAUUGCACUGCUUGUAAUGGAGCUUGGACUGGUAUAUAUUGCCAGCCAUUUGUUGAAAUAGUGCAGCCAUCUACUGAGCGAUCUGAGCAGAAAACUGCAUGGGCGGGACUAGUGUAGCAGAUCCACUAGCGUUCUGAGGAGCU